CUUUGCAUUAAGUGUGAAUAUUGCUGAGAUAAUAAGGGGGCUAAAAGUAGGUUAGCAAAUUGUUGAUGUCUUUUUAUCUUCUCUUUCUACAGUUGGUGCAUCAUCAUCAUCAUUUUUGUGUUUCUGCUGUAUAUCUCAGGUGAGAUUUUAAAUAUUUUAAAUGAAACUUGUCACAUGCAGAAAGAUGAACGGUGUGUGUUUGCUGUUUUUAGGUGUUUUCUCUGAUCCUGUGAGGGUCACAGUUAAAGGUUUUGUUGGAGACUCAGCUAUCUUGUCUUGUUCGAUCCCUGAAAGUGAGAUUCAAGGCAAAACAGAAGAAUUCUGUGUGCACUUGAGAGACGAUGAAGGCAAGAUUGUGUGUGACGUCAUUAGAGGUAGCAUAGCUGAAGAUCAAGAUCCAAAGUACAAGGACAGAGUCGAAACGUUCCCAGAGGAGUACAAGAAGGGCAACUUCACCUUUAAACUCAACGGUCUUCAAAAAACAGAUGCAAGGAAGUACCACUGUCACAUCACAGGACCAUCUCAGAAUCACACCAUCACAGAGCUUCAUGUUGAAGAUAGACCAGGAGGAAGAGGCAACCACGGAAGACUAAAUGGAGAACUAUUAUCGAUUGUCUAUUUUUUAGUCAGAUUUUUCUUAGCUGGCAUUUUUAUGUUUGUAGCAGUCACUUUUUGUGUAGCAAGGAUGGUAUUCAGGUACUAGUGUAUUGGGGGGUCCCUGGUCCCUGAUAAUUGCACCACCUUUCACCACGUCAGCAACAGCCCUGGUUGUAGUUGGCCUCAGAUUGUUUGUUUUCUUCUGUUACUGACAAUCAGUCAGACACAGUGUCGGAAGUAUUUUUACUCCGUUACAGUACUUCAGUACAUUUUUCAAACUGAAAAAAACAACAACAACAAAAAACAACAACAACAACAACAACAAAACACCAUAAUUCUUUGAUGUUUUAACUUGAACAUUUCAGACAUGAAGAACCCAAGCACAGUAUAAUAUUAGGAAACUUGACUUUACUAGAUGAUUAAAAUGGUCAGGAAAUAUUAAUCAUCACAUACAAUGACAAAUUAAACAUAAUAGCUGCAUAUACACAAGUUAACUACAAGAGACUUUUAACAUACAUGAACAUCAAAAUAAAAUUAUCUAAAAUCAUGAAAACUUAACAAAUUGUUACAACAAUUGUCCUUGAAUCCAUUUUAGGAAAAAAACAACAACUAUUUUUCACAAUCCCUAUCCAAACAACAUUUGUGAAAACUAAAUCUAAAUUGACUAAAUCAACCCAGUGUACUCACUGUAAUUAGUCCAUCCAUUUCCUCCAGUUUGACCCAUUCAUUUCAUCACAAUUUUCAGACAAAUAAGUGUUAAAUAAGGGUGAUAUACUGCCACCCUUCACAAGGCUUUACACAAUAUGUGUGUGUGUGUGUGUGUGUGUGUGUGUGUAUAUAUAUAUAUUUGUCUCCUGUAUUAAUUAAUUUAUUUGUACAACUGUAAACUUAACUUUCAGUUAAAAACUUGUGUGACCACUGUUCACAAAGCACUUGAAUUAAAUUAAUUAAUUUCAAUUAUGCCAAUCAUGGCCCAAUUUUGCAUUCAGUGUUUGUAAUUGGAUGUCAGUAUGUUUGCUGUUAGCACUGUAAUGUCAACCAUGUUAAUAAAAAGCUAAAUAUA
Long non-coding RNA from Cyprinus carpio (common carp), 1660 nucleotides. RefSeq lists it as uncharacterized. The record is from RefSeq and is a predicted model, not a curated record. Lineage: Eukaryota; Metazoa; Chordata; Actinopteri; Cypriniformes; Cyprinidae. The transcript has 2 exons.